Molecule: ribosomal RNA, 1127 nt
Filed under: marine metagenome
Description: bacterial SSU rRNA
Rfam family: Eukaryotic small subunit ribosomal RNA
Source: RNAcentral
AAGAGAUUGAUGUAGAUAUCUGUCCUAUCAAUAUUAGAUGGUGAGAUCGGGGCCUACCACUAUUCUGACAGGUAACGGAGGAUCAAAGUUCGAUUCCGGAGAGGGAGCCUGAGAAAUGGCUACCACUUCCAAGGAGGGCAGCAGGCGCGAAACUUACCCAAUACCGAAGCGGUGAGGUAGUGACCAGAUGUACCUAUAUAGACAGCAAACUGUCUAUCUAUUGGAAUGAGCUUAGUUUAGACUCCUAGGUAAUUAGCAAUUGGGGGGCAAGAACUGGUGCCAGCAGCCGCGGUAAAUCCAGCUCCAAUAGUGUAUACUAAAAUUGUUGCGGUUAAAACGUUCGUAGUCGAACUGAAAAAUGUAUCGCGUAAGCUGGAUACAUUUCAAAAUAGUUUAAGGAAAGUUAACAGAGACAAAAUAAGCUACAUUACUGUGAUAAAAGUUUAAGUGUUCAAUGCAAAUUACUGUUUAGGAAAAGAUAGCAUAGAAUAAUAAUAAUUGCGAAUAUUUCUUUCACAAUAGGAAAUGAUAGGGACAGUCGGGGGCAUUCGUACUUCAUUGUCAGAGGUAAAAUUCUAGGAUUUUUGGAUGACGAACGUAAGCGAAAGCAUUUGUCAGGAAUGUUCUCAUUGAUUAAGGACAAAGGUUAGGGGUUCAAAAACGAUUAGAUACCGUUGUAGUCUUAACUGUAAACACUGCCGACCAGGAAUAGGUGAAUGCAUCAUUUUAUUAGGUUUUGCCUGUACCUAAGGAGAAAUCAGAGUCUUUGGGUUCCGGGGGGAAUAUGGUCGCAAGGUUGAAACUUGAAGGAAUUGACGUAAGGGCACCACCAGGCGCGGAGCCUGCGGCUUAAUUUGACUCAACCCGGGAAAACUUACCAGGUCCGGACAUUAAAAGGAUAGACAGAUUGAAUUUCUUUUUUUAUUUUGUGAAUAGUGGUGCAUGGCCGCUCUGAGUUCGUGGGUUGACUUGUUAGGUUGACUCCAGUAACGAACGAGAUCUUCAUAAGCUAAUUUAGAACAUUUAUCUAAAUAAUCAUAACUUUUCUUAGUAAGACGAUUUCCAGUAAAGGAGGUAAUGGAAGUAGGAGGCAAUAGCAGGUCUGUGAUGCCCUUAGACGUUCUGGG